GAACGAGGAUAUAUCCUUCGGGAUAUAAGCCGAGUGGCACAAGGGUGAGCAAUGCAUAGAUUACCUACCUUUAGGAUAAGGGCAACUUUGUGAAAACGGAGCUAAUACUUAAUAAUACAAAAGAAAAUAAUUUUCUUUUGUCAAAGGGAGGGUAGCAAUACCUUUCGCCUAGAGAGGGGUUUAUGUCCUAUCAGCUUGUUGGUGGGGUAAUAGCCCACCAAGGCGAAGACGGGUAGCCGGUUUAAGAGGAUGGUCGGCCACACUGGGACUGAGACACUGCCCAGACUUCUACGGAAGGCUGCAGUCGAGAAUCUUUCGCAAUGCCCGAAAGGGUGACGAAGCGACGCCGCGUGGGUGAAGAAGGCCUUCGGGUUGUAAAGCCCUGUCAGGAGUUAUGAAAUGUAAGUGCGCUAAUAUCGUGCUUAUUUGACAAAGGCUCCAAAGGAAGCCACGGCUAACUCUGUGCCAGCAGCCGCGGUAAUACAGAGGUGGCGAGCGUUGUUCGGAAUUAUUGGGCGUAAAGAGCACGUAGGUGGGUUUGCAAGUCAGAUGUGAAAGCCUUCUGUUCAACGGAAGAAUUGCAUCUGAAACUGCUAAUCUUGAGUAUAGGAGGGGAGAAUGGAACUUCUGGUGGAGCGGUGAAAUGCGUAGAUAUCAGAAGGAACGCCGGCGGCGAAAGCGAUUCUCUGGCCUAUUACUGACACUCAGUGUGCGAAAGCUAGGGGAGCAAACGGGAUUAGAUACCCCGGUAGUCCUAGCCGUAAACGAUGGGCACUAAGUAGAGGGAAUUACCUAUAUUCUCUCUGCCGUAGCUAACGCAUUAAGUGCCCCGCCUGGGGAGUACGGCCGCAAGGCUAAAACUCAAAAGAAUUGACGGGGGCUCGCACAAGCGGUGGAGCAUGUGGCUUAAUUCGAUGCAACGCGAAAAACCUUACCGGGGCUUGACAUGAUAGAAGUAGGAACCUGAAAGGGGGACGAACGGUAUCCAGUCCGUAGCUAUCACAGGUGUUGCAUGGCUGUCGUCAGCUCGUGUCGUGAGACGUUGGGUUAAGUCCCCUAACGAGCGAAACCCUUGUUUUUAGUUACCAGCGGGUUAUGCCGGGUACUCUAGAAAGACUGCCGUCGUCAAGACGGAGGAAGGUGGGGAUGACGUCAAGUCAUCAUGGCCCUUAUGCCCCGGGCUGCACACGUGCUACAAUGGUCGGUACAGACGGAAGCGAAGCCGAGAGGUGAAGCGAAUCCUAAAAAGCCGAUCUCAGUUCGGAUUGGAGGCUGAAAUUCGCCUCCAUGAAGUUGGAAUCGCUAGUAAUCGCGGAUCAGCAAUGUCGCGGUGAAUAUGUUCCCGAGCCUUGUACACACCGCCCGUCAAGCCACCCAAGCAGGAUGCACCCGAAAACAUUAUAUCUAACCAGGGCAACUUGGAGGAAAAUGUUGAAGGAGUGUUUUGUGAGGAGGACU
Molecule: ribosomal RNA, 1458 nt
Filed under: uncultured anaerobic ammonium-oxidizing bacterium
Lineage: Bacteria
Description: bacterial SSU rRNA
Rfam family: Bacterial small subunit ribosomal RNA
Source: RNAcentral